Molecule: non-coding RNA, 75 nt
Organism: Myotis davidii
Lineage: Eukaryota; Metazoa; Chordata; Mammalia; Chiroptera; Vespertilionidae
Source: Rfam
GGCAGUUCUUGGGUGACUCACUCCAGAAUCGGGCUCCCUCCUCUCUAGUUCCUGGUGUGUCACCUGAGAACCUCA